This is a long non-coding RNA of Dalotia coriaria, 4160 nucleotides long. RefSeq lists it as uncharacterized. The transcript has 6 exons. NCBI's taxonomy places the organism in Eukaryota, Metazoa, Arthropoda, Insecta, Coleoptera, Staphylinidae. The record is from RefSeq and is a predicted model, not a curated record.
AAAAAAGACACACACCAUGAAGUUAUUUAUUAUACUUUGCAUUCUAUUCGCAGUGGUGUCGGCCGAGAAUUAUGAAAAUGAAAUAACCAACACCAACAGUAUUUCAAUCUCCAGCAUUAUUGCAAACUUCAGAUGCAUAAAAGAAAACAUAAUAAAAUUGUUAAAAAUACACACACCGAACAUCGCACUGGGCCUGCAAGUAUGUUUACGCACUGCGCCAGCGGAAACAAAACAAAUUGGUAGAAAUAUUCUCUAUCAGCUUCAAGCAAUUAAUAUGAAAUGGAACAAGCAUCAAAGCUCAUCUCGUGUGGCGUUUAUUGCGGUUAUGGAUAUUGCAAAGACUGAUAUUCCUCCAUUAAUGAAGUCGUUGCGUAUGGUGGUUGAAUAUGCUGCUGAUCAUCCAGGAACUUAUUCAUGCAUUGAGGAUAAAACUAAAGCCGCCAGAGAGAUACUAAACAAUAUAAAUGAAUGUUAAAUGCAAGAAUACUGUACUGUAAUGGUGGCAAUAACAUUUUUUCCUGUGGCUUUAUCGCACACGAAUGUUUUAAACAUUUAACUGUUAUAUUGUUUACAGCACAUAUUCUCGGAAUACUUCCGAUGGCCUAUAAAAGCUUACUUUCCAAGUUAUUUGACUCAAGAUCAUUUGUGUAUUCCUGGCAUUCCCCAUCUCAUCAUUUAAUCAUGCUUAUUGUUAUUGUUCUCUUAUUAAUCUACAAAAUUUUGGUAGUAAAUUCUCAGAGCACCUUGUCUUCGAAUUUAUGCUUAAAUCAAGUUCGCAACUUCUUCAACACUGCGCAGAAUUUCCGUGAUGACCUACAAAGCUGCACAUCUGACCUGACCAUCAUCAGUGGCGACAUUUAUAAUUACGUUGACCAAUUUACGCAGAAUUAUGACGACUUUCGCAAUGCCUUCAAUGGGCUUCUCAAUUGCAACGGAUUCGUCUGCCAAGAUCGAAUAUCGUCCGAAAUCUCGCGCUAUGUCGAUAUAAUGAAUUUUGAUUUGGAGACUAUCGCCAACGAGAUUGGGCAAGCCCAGCCUGGAUUAGAUCCCGCGACGGCUUAUUGCUUGAAUUCUGUUGUUAACAAUGUAAACAAUUCGUUGAUAUUCAAUUUAAAUUGUUAGCAGUAAAAUUACGCAAUUGUUACCCAAUAAAGUAAUUUUCAAGUUAUUCAAACUGCAAAAACGUUCCAGGUUAACACUUUAUUUCUGUGAUAACACUGGGUACGCCGCUUAUAAAUACCAAACGAUGCAAAUGUUCCUUCGUUCAUUCACUCCUUUUCAGCAAUGAACCGACCUACUGUUUUAAUUUGCAUUGUUAUGCUACAUCAGAUUUGUGGAAAAACUUGUUCCACACUCAGUUCUGAUGAUUUACGUGCUUUAUUUGCUCAACAACAACAAGAUCGUGCCCUGUUUCCAAACGUUCAAUGCCUGACAUCACAAUUUCGGGAGUUUCUCAAUUCUGGGACCAAUUUUGGCACAGACCUGCAGCGCUGCACAUCUGGUAUUCAGAACAUCGGCACUGAUGUGUUAACACGUGUGGAUGAUUUUUCUAUAAGAAGCACAAAUGUCUUAAGCAUGUUGUCGGAGUUUCUCACAUGCGCGGGUUUGUUUUGUCAAUGGCAAACUUUGAUAAAUGUGGGCAGUGAGACUGUGCAAAUGGUGAGCGAUAUUACACAGCUGGUUACCGAUAUUUUUGCUUCGCCAUGGCAGUUUGCUCCGACAAGUAUUAACUGUUUUGCGAAUGUAAUUACAAGGGUUGCAAACACACUCUCCAAUUUAAUAACCUGCUUUCAAGGAGGUACUAUACCAGAAAGCACUACACCCACAACAACAACGACCACAAACAGAUUUCCUGGUUUCCCUGGUUUUCCCAACUUCCAAAAUGCUAAUCCCAAUGUAUCAAAUAAUUAAUUGUUUUAUAGUUGUGAUUAAAUUAUGCAAAGAAUAAAGAAUUUAUUACCGCAUGCAAGGCUAGAGUUUAUGUUCGACUAUAAAUUGUUUCUUUAACGAUGUGUGCAGUAAAUAAAAAAAUGGAAAUAGUUUAGGAUUGAGUUUCCGCACUAUUUGAAAUAUAAAAACUCGACUAACUGACCGAGUACUGCUUAUACCUGCAAAAUUAACACCUGAACACAAUGCAGUCGCGAUAUAUUUAUUUGUACCUACUUUUGGUCUGGCAGUGCAAACUGUCAUCAACGCAGAAUUCAACCACGGUGGUAAGCAUUACAAGCAGUGGUUUGCCCGUAACCAAUUCCAGUUCCAAUGAGAGCAACAGUUCAAGCAAUGAAAGUAACAGCUCUUCUUCUGAAGAAGACUCGUCAGAAUCUACGCCUGCACCAUUAUCAUUUCAACUGCAGCAAUUCACAUGCCUCAACAAUCGUUUGAUACAGUUUCUUCAACUUGGUAUUUCUUUCAAUGAUAAUUUGCUUCAAUGCACACCCUCGUUGGCAAAUUUAGGGGACGUUGUCUAUGAUCGCGUCAGUGAUUAUAAUUUGCAAUUUGACGACUUAUCGUCUUCGUACGCGCUAUUGUUGUACUGCCCAUCGGCUCUGUGCCGACUUCGCGUUGGGUUUGGUUUAAUCACUGACGUGGCACAGAUCGCUGCAGAUUUGAAUGCUAUUCAGUAUAAUCUAAGGAACAAUACGACCAUUUUACCGAAUACGUCAAUCGGAGCCACACUAACACCUGCUCGAUUAAAUGCUACCGAAAGAAAUUGUAUAAAUGGUGUUGUUGAUAACGUGGUAAACGUGUUUAAUAAUAUUUCAUCGUGUUUUGGUAGUAAUUAGUUAUAUAAAGUGAUUAUUAUUUACAGUCAGUUUGUUUGAUGAAUAUGCUACAAACAAUAUGCUUUCAAAUAUAUUUAAAUAAAUAAUUAUAUGUAAAUUCCAACAUGCUUUUGCACACGUUCCGUGGAAAUUUACCAAAAUGUAUAAAUAAUCGAUAUUUGUAUAGGAUUACACAUACUGAGCUAGAAAACAUGAAAGCAUCGUUGGUUAUUCUUGCCGCAUUGGCCUUUCUGCAGGUCGCAGUAACGAAAGAAGAAUGGGAAUUUAAUUUAUGCGUUAUAUCUCGAAUAGAUUAUGUCGGUAUUACUAUUACACAGUUUCCUGAUGAAGUCAACAAAUGUAUAAAUGCUUCGGAAAAUCUUUCCGAGAAGGUAAAAGCGGAAAUCAAUAGCUUGAUAGCGGCUAUGGACCAAUUCUUAGAAGAUAUUGAAGGCAGUGCGAAUACUUUUGAUAUUGACGAAUUUGUAGCUGAUAUUAAUGAAAGGAUUCCGGUGAUUAAUGGAACUCAAGCGAUUGUUAACAAACUUGUUUGCAAUAAAAAAGAUCGUAAAUGUUUCAAUGAACAAUUAGAUAAACUCAAGCUUCCAUUUGUGACUAUUAGCGAAUGUUAAUAAGUAAUUAUUCUUGCACUGUUUAUUAACUUUGUUUUGAAAUCAAAUAAAUAUUGAAAUAUUUAUUUUCAACAUUUUGUUCUUUACUGUAAAAAUUAGUACCCAAAAGUUUAUUAUAAUUAUGCACAAUGUGUUAUCUGUGUUAUUGCAGGUAAUAUUUAAUAUUCAUGAACAUGAGCUAGGCAUAACAAAUUUUUUAAACCGAAUAAAUAUAUAUAUACCGCUAUUUAUUCGGGAUUUUUUCAAAGUGUUUUUAGCAUUCACACGUGUGCUACUUAAAUAAUUUUAAUAUCAUGAAGGUGUUGCUGGUGCUUGUUCAAGCAAUGUGCUUAAUUCAUGUUUCAAUUGCACAAAAUGAGCAACUGUUGCAGUGCAUUUGGCCUCAUGCGACUCCACUGUCGAAUCAUAUCGUUGCGGUACCUACUAACAUCAACAAAUGUUUGGAAAAUUCCGAAAAUUUACCUGAUAAGGUAAAAUUAAAAAUCGUAGAAUUUGUUGAAAGCGUAGAGGCAUUCCAUAAUAACGAUCGUGGUUUUGACGUAUUUGCGUUUUUAAAUCGGGUUGAUAAACAGCUAAUCAAAAUCGCCGAGACAGUUGCCAUUGUUGAUGAGGGAGUCAACAAUAAAACGGAUCGUAGGUGUUUUAUUAAACAAAUAAAUGCCAUAAAAUGUCCAUUGCUAUCUAUUAGCAAAUGCCCAAGGGCGACUGUACAAACUUAACUUUUAAUUAUCACAAUAAAGUUUCGGAAUUUAUCAGCAGUCAUAAA